GUGAAGCACUAGCUACAGAAGGAAUGAAAAGGCUAAGCCAAAGUGGAAACAACACCCAGUUGUGGAUGUGUCUGGUGGUGAAAGUAAAGUCUGAUGCUAAAAGAACAAUAGUGUAUAGGAACCAGAGGUAUAUUCAGAGAAAUCAGUUACCAGUUCAGAGAUUUAAAUGUGCAGUGCUCCAAGCAAAAAAUGGCAACAGAGGUAUGCAUUUAUGUAUUUAUUCCAUGGAAGUGAGUAAAGCCAUUGCAAGCAUGAUGGAAAACCCAGAAGCAGAGAAAGAAAUGGUUCAUCAAAGCAUGUAUAAAAACAGAACCCUGCGGUUCCAGGACUCCACCUGAGUGGCGGGAAAACCUCAACCUGCACGGCACACGCCCAAGUCAGGGAGCAUGCGCAGUGUGUGUGCGCGCGCACGCGCGCACCCCUUGCUGCGCAUGCGCCUUGGUGCUCAUACGCCUUCCUGAGCGCAUUCUGUGAGAACCGUUGGGCGUGAGACGGGUGUGUUUAUUCAGUCCCGGUUCUUUCUCACUACUUGAGACUCACCAGGGAGAAAUAUGAGUGGGCAAGUGGCAUCAACAUUGGGACCUACAGAUCAAGAUUCCUCCCAGCUGGAUGAACCUGUGGUUGACCAGCAGCCCAGUGUUGAGCAACCUCAACAAGAGGAAGCACCAGCUGAGAAUCAGGAUAUCACACCUGGAAAGGAGGAAGUCAAUGGAGAGGAUCCAGUGAAUCAUGGUGAAGAGAAGGAGAAGGAUGCCCCUGGAGAUUCUGACCUGGAAACUGAUCUCCAGGAAUUGGCUUUGGCAAAGACUGGGGGUCAAGGCGGAGAUGGUCCCGAUGUCGAGGAGGAGAUUGCAUCAAAUACAGAGCCUGUUGAAAUGCCAGAAGCAGGUGAAGGGGAACCGUUUGCUUGAAAGAAGAUAAACUGAAACCAUCUAUGCUGUUCUUAUGCUGUUUAUUUGACUGUUAAAGUUCUGUCAAUAAAGUUUCAUUUUCUACUUGCA
This is an RNA transcript of Cervus elaphus (red deer), 1001 nucleotides long. It is a transcript of the gene named P antigen family member 5-like, with no coding region annotated. NCBI's taxonomy places the organism in Eukaryota, Metazoa, Chordata, Mammalia, Artiodactyla, Cervidae. The transcript has 6 exons. The record is from RefSeq and is a predicted model, not a curated record.